This is a non-coding RNA of Aedes albopictus (Asian tiger mosquito), 58 nucleotides long. Lineage: Eukaryota; Metazoa; Arthropoda; Insecta; Diptera; Culicidae. The record is from Rfam.
UAGCCUAGUGGUUAAGGCUAUAGACCGCCAAUCCGGAGACGGCGGGUUCGAUUCCCGU